This 253-nucleotide ribosomal RNA is filed under the name uncultured bacterium. RNAcentral describes it as "partial 16S ribosomal RNA". It matches the Rfam family "Bacterial small subunit ribosomal RNA", at positions 524 to 776 of the family's 1533-position model. The record is from RNAcentral.
GACAGAGGGGGCAAGCGUUGCUCGGAAUUACUGGGCGUAAAGGGCGCGUAGGCGGGAUGGCAAGUCGGUCGUGAAAUCCCUCGGCUCAACCGAGGAACGUCGAUCGAUACUGCUGUUCUUGAGGAUUGCAGAGGAGACUGGAAUUCCCGGUGUAGCGGUGAAAUGUGUAGAGGUCGGGAGGAACACCGGUGGCGAAGGCGGGUCUCUGGGCAAUUCCUGACGCUGAGGCGCGAAAGCGUGGGGAGCAAACGGG